CGGUAAUUCCAGCUCCAAUAGCGUAUAUUAAACUUGUUGCAGUUAAAAAGCUCGUAGUUGAAUUUCUGCUGCAUCGUGGUUCUUCGCUAUGUCGAGUGGGCCUCGUUGUGGCUUAGUUGGGGCAUGUUUUCAUGACUCGACGUUUACUUUGAGAAAAUUAGAGUGCUUCAAGCAGGCUUUUGCCUUGAAUACUUUAGCAUGGAAUAAUGGAGUAGGACUUUGGUUCUAUUUUGUUGGUUUUAGGAGCCGGAGUAAUGGUUAAUAGGAACAGUUGGGGGCAUUCGUAUUUGACUGUCAGAGGUGAAAUUCUUAGAUUUGUCAAAGACGAACUACUGCGAAAGCAUUUGCCAAGGAUGUUUUCAUUAAUCAAGAACGAAAGUUAGGGGAUCGAAGACGAUCAGAUACCGUCGUAGUCCUAACCAUAAACGAUGCCGACUAGAGAUUGGAGGUCGUCAGUU
Molecule: ribosomal RNA, 458 nt
Filed under: Theileria equi
Lineage: Eukaryota; Apicomplexa; Aconoidasida; Piroplasmida; Theileriidae
Description: SSU rRNA
Rfam family: Eukaryotic small subunit ribosomal RNA
Source: RNAcentral